RNAcentral lists this ribosomal RNA (253 nucleotides) under uncultured bacterium. Its description in RNAcentral is "partial 16S ribosomal RNA". It matches the Rfam family "Bacterial small subunit ribosomal RNA", at positions 524 to 776 of the family's 1533-position model. The record is from RNAcentral.
GACGGAGGGUGCUAGCGUUGUUCGGAUUUACUGGGCGUAAAGGGCGCGUAGGCGGCUUUGUAAGUCGGGUGUGAAAGCCCGGGGCUCAACCCCGGAACGGCACUCGAGACUGUGAGGCUUGAGAUCGGAAGAGGAGAGUGGAAUACCCAGUGUAGAGGUGAAAUUCGUAGAUAUUGGGUGGAACACCGGUGGCGAAAGCGGCUCUCUGGUCCGUAUCUGACGCUGAGGCGCGAAAGCGUGGGGAGCAAACAGG